Apodospora peruviana is the source of this 86-nucleotide non-coding RNA. The record is from the annotation of a GenBank genome assembly. NCBI's taxonomy places the organism in Eukaryota, Fungi, Ascomycota, Sordariomycetes, Sordariales, Lasiosphaeriaceae.
GGGUACAUGGUCUAGUGGUAUGAUUUUCGCUUCGCAUAGACUUGCGCCAUUGUGAAAGGUCCCCGGUUCAAUCCCGGGUGUAUCCA